GUACCUGUGGUGGGACCAGAGAAGCUGUAGCCUGCUCACGCCCUGAAGUUGCCAGCACAGCGUGGGGUGUGUGUGUGUGGCUUUAAGUGAAGACAGCCUGUGCCUCAGAGGCCUGACAGAGCCCUGCUGCUUGGAAGGGAGAUCCGCCAGGAGGCUGCCAAGGCUAGAGCAUGACUCUAAGUGUUGAGACCAUCAGAGAGCUCAGACUUUCAUUCAGGGGGCACGUGGGGAUCUCCUCCAGGAACGAGAACUCCUUUUCAUUGGACGUGUACUGAGAAGAAGUGUGACAGUUGGUCUUCAACGUCAACUUGGCGAGAUUGUGAGUCGCCUAGGAGAUGCAUCUCUGCAAGCAGCCGUGAGGCUGUUUCCAGAGCGCUUUAGCCGGGCGGGGCUGACGCACCCCGAACACAGGCAGCACCGGCACAGGGACUUGAACUGAGUACAGGGCAAGUUGAGCGCCGGCAUCCAUCCGUCUUUGCUCUCCGGCUACAGAGUGUGUGGCCAGCAGCCCUGUGUUCCUGCCCGUGCCUUCCCUGCCCUGACGGAUGGUACCUUCAGACUGUGAGCAGAAAUGAACUCUUUCCUUACUGCAUCUGCGGCUGGUGUUCACAGUGGUGAGAGAAGCAACUAAUACGAGGGGCGGAAGGACAACGGGGGACAAUGUGGAGAGCGCCGCCAGAUGGCACACAGAUCCCAGCCCUGGCAUGGAGAACAGAUGAAAGAGCUGCGUGCGCUGCCUGACCAGGAAGCCUGCACUUCCUCACCCUGACCCCUGGCCGUAUCAGCUAUACAACUGCCCAACUGAGAGCAUUUGGACGUGCUGGUGGGAGCCACCCAGGGACCCCAAAGGAGGAAGCAUCAGGUCACAGGCAUGUCACAGUAAUACCAGGCCAUGACAGAGUUUGCGGGAGCAUCUUUGCAGCUUCCACCAUCCACUUUCCUCCACAUCCCCUCCCAGAUGCCAUAAUUCUGCUGUACGGCACCAGCCUGCUCGUCACGGUUCAGUUUCUCACUGUGUGUGUUCAGGGUUCCUUAAGAUUCACAGAGCAGUGGAAGGCCACAAAUGCGUAAUUAUAUGUGCGGCACCAAUUGGACUUGAUGGAUGAGGAAAAAAAGGAUACGAGGUUGUGUGG
Molecule: long non-coding RNA, 1133 nt
Organism: Meriones unguiculatus (Mongolian gerbil)
Lineage: Eukaryota; Metazoa; Chordata; Mammalia; Rodentia; Muridae
Exons: 4
Source: RefSeq, a predicted model, not a curated record